Molecule: long non-coding RNA, 732 nt
Filed under: Vulpes vulpes (red fox)
Lineage: Eukaryota; Metazoa; Chordata; Mammalia; Carnivora; Canidae
Description: lncRNA (ENSVVUG00000004346.1)
Source: RNAcentral
UUUACAGUCUUAAGCAGAAUAUUAUCUGCCAUAUAUAACUGUAAUUUUUUAUUUAUUUUUAGUCCAAUGAGAACUGGAAGGGGAGGUGACUCAUUUAUGAUCAUUUCAUCUUAAUGAUUCAUGACAAUUUCUUGAGCACUUACCACGUCUGAGACAUGGAGUUACACCGUGGGGCUAAGGAGGUGACUAGGAUGAGGUCCCUGCAGUUGAAAAGUUUAUCAUCUAUCACAGGGGACAAGAUCAAUUCAGACACAUUCUUUAUGAUGUGGUAUUAGGAUGAAUUUGCAGCAUGCUGUGGAAAUAGAACAAAGGAGCCCUUGAGAAGCUAACCAGAAGAAGAAAAGGAAUAUCACACCCAUACAAGGAGACCAGCUUAGGUGUGGAUGCAAGGAAAUGCAUAGAGCUUGAGGAGUGGAAGUAGUUUGGUGCAUUAGAACAUAAAACAAAAAGAGGACAAUGACUGCGGAUGGAGAGGGUUUGAAUAUGGAAAGUUGUAGAUAUCAUGCUUUUAUUACAGUAACUGUAAUGCAGAUGGUUGGUACAACUGGGAGCUGGUUAGCCGAAGUCACAGCUGAAAUACAAGAAAACAACUGGAAUAGAAAUUAGGUAUCCUGGCAUCUAGACAUCAUCUGCAAGCAACUUGAAAUCCAAUGGCUGGUUCCUCCAUAGCUACAGAAAUUCUCACAUCUGUGGAGGUCUCCAAGGAUAAAAUAAAUGUCUGCGCAGGUCACA